CCCCCCGCUUGAUCUCUUCACAGUUCUGCCCAAGAGUCCACCACCCUCAGGUGAAGCCACCUCUUCCUGCAGAAGUCAGACCAGCAGAAGGAACUUCCAGGCCCAUGGAUUCACACUUCAGAGGGACAAACAAAAAGG
Lacerta agilis (Sand lizard) is the source of this 138-nucleotide long non-coding RNA. RefSeq lists it as uncharacterized. The transcript has 2 exons. The record is from RefSeq and is a predicted model, not a curated record. Lineage: Eukaryota; Metazoa; Chordata; Lepidosauria; Squamata; Lacertidae.